CUCCCUACAGCAUAUAGGGGAAGGGACAGAGUUGCAGAGAGAGAGAGGGAGAGUGUUCAGGAUGCUGAAACUACACUCGUUAUCUUCCCCUGCGACUGCACAAAACCCUCACAAAAGCCCUAGCCAGUUCCUCUCUUCGCAGCUCUCCGGUAGGGGUAGGGUUUUCAGCACCAACACCUUCGGCUUCGCUCCGAGUCCGAGCUUGUCGACGAAGAGGCUUUCCUUGAAAUGUCGCCAGUCGGAGUACUUCGACCAGCAGAGAACCAGCACCGCCGCUUCCCCGAACAAGCCUUCUCCUGCUUCGCAAACUCCCACCGGAGUGACAGGGAUGGCACCUAGGAUUUACGUGGGUCACUCAAUAUACAAGGGAAAGGCAGCUCUUACUGUAGAGCCCAAAGCUCCAGAGUUCACCCCAUUAGAUUCAGGGGCAUUCAAACUUUCCCGGGAAGGUUUUGUGCUACUUCAGUUUGCUCCAGCAGCAGGUGUUCGUGUAUAUGACUGGAGCAGAAAGCAGGUAUUCUCGCUAUCAGUGACAGAAAUUGGAAGCCUGGUUAGCCUUGGCUCAAAGGAGUCCCUUGAAUUUUUCCAUGAUCCUUUUAAGGGUAAAAGUGAUGAGGGCAAGAUCAGGAAGGUGUUGAAGGUGGAGCCUCUUCCAGAUGGAUCUGGCCAUUUCUUUAACCUCAGUGUUCAAAACAAGCUUAUCAACUUGGACGAGAGCAUUUAUAUUCCUAUCACCAGGGCGGAAUUUGCCGUUCUCAAAUCAGCUUUCAAUUUCAUCUUGCCGUACAUUUUAGGUUGGCAUGCCUAUGCAAACUCCAUAAAACCAGAAGCUUCGGGCCGUGCCAAUAACUCUGGUAUUAAAUACGGAGGAGAUUUUGAAUGGGGCAGAUAGUAGGGACACUAAGGGAACUUUAAAGUGCAAAUGAUGAUGGUUUGAUGUUAAUCGUUCGUUGUGGUAAAGAUGCUAGAGAACUACAAAGAAAGCCUACACCGAGGUCAACAAGCAAACAAAGCAACAUAACCAAAGCAGCGAAGGGGAUAGAAAAAGAAAGGAGUAUUUUUAGCAGGAGAUGGAGCCCUGUGAUAUUUCAUUAGUCAAGAAAGACAAAUUGUUGGUCGCUCUUUAUAUUAAUCCGAUGGCUAAUCUACUUUAAUAAAUAUUUACGUUAAAAAAAACAAAACAAAAAGAAAACUUACAAAAUAAAUAUAUUCACCUAUUUAUAACAGUGAGCUACCCACAGAUGUAUCGAAAU
Pyrus x bretschneideri (Chinese white pear) is the source of this 1253-nucleotide RNA transcript. It is a transcript of the gene named single-stranded DNA-binding protein WHY1, chloroplastic-like, with no coding region annotated. The transcript has 8 exons. The record is from RefSeq and is a predicted model, not a curated record. NCBI's taxonomy places the organism in Eukaryota, Viridiplantae, Streptophyta, Magnoliopsida, Rosales, Rosaceae.